UGCUCUGAUUUUGUCUUUCAUAUUCUCGCCUUGGGAUGGGGCAUGUUGUAGAAUGGACAGACACAGGAUUUCAGCUGAAAUUAUACAAAGAAAAUAUCAAGAAUGAUUUGGCAUCUUCAGGACCUUCUGAAAUAUUUCUGAAGCCAACAAACAUUAGAAUCAUUUUUCUGGAAGAUAUUUCACCCCGAGAUUAAGAGACAGCUUCAGGACCUCCUGCAAAAAAUGUCUCAAAUGAAGGCUGCUACUUUAAAAUCAUAUUCACUGCUGACUGUUAAGACCAUUUUCUGAAACUGUUAAUAUUGUUGCCAUUACACACAAUAAAACAGAGGUUAGUAUUCUGAGGAAGGGGGUAGGGCAAUGAUAAGUUAACUAUUAGAACGGAUGAAUGGAAGGUUUUUAAUCCAGUUUUAACUUGACCACUAUGCUAAAUUUAUAAAUCGAUGGCAUUGCUUCCUUGAUUCUGCUUUCUGUUCAUUCCUGAAAGGAGUUUUUGAA
Stegostoma tigrinum is the source of this 495-nucleotide long non-coding RNA. RefSeq lists it as uncharacterized. The record is from RefSeq and is a predicted model, not a curated record. NCBI's taxonomy places the organism in Eukaryota, Metazoa, Chordata, Chondrichthyes, Orectolobiformes, Stegostomatidae. The transcript is spliced from 3 exons.